RNAcentral lists this ribosomal RNA (459 nucleotides) under uncultured bacterium. Its description in RNAcentral is "partial 16S ribosomal RNA". It matches the Rfam family "Bacterial small subunit ribosomal RNA", at positions 338 to 795 of the family's 1533-position model. The record is from RNAcentral.
CCUACGGGAGGCAGCAGUGAGGAAUAUUGGUCAAUGGCCGGAAGACUGAACCAGCCAAGUAGCGUGAAGGAUGACGGCCCUAUGGGUUGUAAACUGCUUUUGUCAGGGAGCAAAAGGCGGGACGGGUCCUGCUGUGAGAGUACCUGAAGAAAAAGCAUCGGCUAACUCCGUGCCAGCAGCCGCGGUAAUACGGAGGAUGCGAGCGUUAUCCGGAUUUAUUGGGUUUAAAGGGUGCGCAGGCGGGGCUGUAAGUCAGCGGUAAAAUAGCGGGGCUCAACCCCGCCACGCCGUUGAAACUGGGGUCCUGGAGUGCGCGAGAGGUAUGCGGAAUGCGUGGUGUAGCGGUGAAAUGCAUAGAUAUCGCGCAGAACUCCGAUUGCGAAGGCAGCCUACCGGCGCGCAACUGACGCUCAUGCACGAAAGCGUGGGUAUCGAACAGGAUUAGAUACCCGUGUAGUC